Non-coding RNA from Acanthosepion pharaonis, 91 nucleotides. NCBI's taxonomy places the organism in Eukaryota, Metazoa, Mollusca, Cephalopoda, Sepiida, Sepiidae. The record is from the annotation of a GenBank genome assembly.
ACACUGAAAACAGUGGUUCUCAUUUGAUCACCAAAGUUAAGCAGUAUUGAUCCCAGUCAGUACUUAGAUGGGAGACCACAUGGGAAUACCA